CGGGGUGCGACCAGUGUAGCCACAUUAGGAGGAAAGAGAGAGAGAGAGAAGAAAAAAAAAAAAGGGGGGGAGAGAGGGGAUAUAUGUAGAUACACAUUGAGGUGAAGCGUUGUCGCAUGUAUUGCAUGUCUCCACUUGUCCAUGUUCCCAAUUGCCUCCCUUUCUCCCUCCCCUUCUCCCUCAUCCCGGAGUCUCAGGGUUUUUGACCUUCUUUUCUCUUUUCUUUUUCUCCUUUUUUCCCUCCCUCUUCCCGCCCCCCGGGUGUAAUGUCCAAUACCCA
Molecule: non-coding RNA, 280 nt
Organism: Pelobates cultripes (western spadefoot toad)
Lineage: Eukaryota; Metazoa; Chordata; Amphibia; Anura; Pelobatidae
Source: the annotation of a GenBank genome assembly